CAGCAGCCGCGGGAAUACGGAGGGCGCGAGCGUUACCCGGAUUUACUGGGCGUAAAGGGCGUGUGGGCGGCCUGGGGCGUCCCAUGUGAAAGGCCACGGCUCAACCGUGGAGGAGCGUGGGAUACGCUCAGGCUAGAGGGUGGGAGAGGGUGGUGGAAUUCCCGGAGUAGCGGUGAAAUGCGCAGAUACCGGGAGGAACGCCGAUGGCGAAGGCAGCCACCUGGUCCACUUCUGACGCUGAGGCGCGAAAGCGUGGGGAGCAAACCGGAUUAGAUACCCCAGUAGUCCCUGUCUCUUAUAC
This 301-nucleotide ribosomal RNA is filed under the name uncultured bacterium. RNAcentral describes it as "partial 16S ribosomal RNA". It matches the Rfam family "Bacterial small subunit ribosomal RNA", at positions 509 to 807 of the family's 1533-position model. The record is from RNAcentral.